This 269-nucleotide ribosomal RNA is filed under the name uncultured prokaryote. Its description in RNAcentral is "partial 16S ribosomal RNA". It matches the Rfam family "Bacterial small subunit ribosomal RNA", at positions 524 to 792 of the family's 1533-position model. The record is from RNAcentral.
UACGGAGGUUGCGAGUGUUGUUCGGAUUUACUGGGCGUAAAGCGCGCGUAGGCGGCCUUUCAAGUCAGGCGUGAAAGCCCCCGGCUCAACCGGGGAACUGCGUCUGAUACUGUUUGGCUUGAGUUCGGUAGAGGGGAGUGGAAUUCCCGGUGUAGCGGUGAAAUGCGUAGAUAUCGGGAAGAACACCGGUGGCGAAGGCGUCUCCCUGGACCGAUACUGACGCUGAGGCGCGAAAGCUAGGGGAGCGAAGGGGAUUAGAUACCCGCGUA